UUGAUUCACUACUUGCAUGUGAGUUUUAUGAGGAAGUUUAGAGAGAUUGAGAUGGUUGGGUGUUGUUGUUUUGUUAAACGAGAGAGAUGAGAUGAGAGAAGGGAGUAUUCUGAUUAUGCACGAAAAGAAAAAUGAAAGUGAACUAAGGGGUUUGGUACUUUUGUAAUAGCGUGGGGUCCACUAUAGGUUAUCUCAUUGGUUACACUUGGUCUUUGUUUUCUAGUAUUUGGUCAUGUCAUAAUAUGAUACUCAUAAUAUCUCUAAUUGAUACAUAAUACUCAUAAAGAAAAUGAGGAUGUUACAG
Molecule: long non-coding RNA, 304 nt
Filed under: Trifolium pratense (red clover)
Lineage: Eukaryota; Viridiplantae; Streptophyta; Magnoliopsida; Fabales; Fabaceae
Description: long non-coding RNA (TPRA_LNC013151)
Source: RNAcentral